This 259-nucleotide ribosomal RNA is filed under the name uncultured bacterium. RNAcentral describes it as "partial 16S ribosomal RNA". It matches the Rfam family "Bacterial small subunit ribosomal RNA", at positions 230 to 507 of the family's 1533-position model. The record is from RNAcentral.
CCGGUGUCCGAUUAGGUAGUUGGUGGGUAAAGGCCUACCAAGCCGACGAUCCUUAGCUGGUCUGAGAGGAUGAUCAGCCACACUGGGACUGAGACACGGCCCAGACUCCUACGGGAGGCAGCAGUGGGGAAUACUGGACAAUGGGCGAAAGCCUGAUCCAGCAAUGCCGCGUGAGUGAUGAAGGCCUUCGGGUCGUAAAGCUCUUUUACCAGGGAUGAUAAUGACAGUACCUGGAGAAUAAGCUCCGGCUAACUCCGUG